Molecule: ribosomal RNA, 428 nt
Filed under: uncultured prokaryote
Also listed under: 1 other name
Description: bacterial SSU rRNA
Rfam family: Bacterial small subunit ribosomal RNA
Source: RNAcentral
UAGGGAAUUUUCCACAAUGGGGGCAACCCUGAUGGAGCAAUGCCGCGUGAGAGAAGAAGGCCUUAGGGUUGUAAAUCUCUGUUAUAAGGGAGGAAAUGUGCAAAGAGGAAAUGCUUUGUACUUGACAAUACCUUAUCAGAAAGCCACGGCUAACUACGUGCCAGCAGCCGCGGUAAUACGUAGGUGGCGAGCGUUAUCCGGAAUUAUUGGGCGUAAAGGGUGCGCAGGCGGUUAUAAAAGAUUGUGGUUAAAGAAUGGAGCUCAACUCCAUAAUGCCAUGAUAACUGUAUAACUAGAGUACAGAAGAGGAAAGUGGAAUUCCAUGUGUAGCGGUGAAAUGCGUAGAUAUAUGGAGGAACACCAGUGGCGAAGGCGACUUUCUGGUCUGUAACUGACGCUGAGGCACGAAAGCGUGGGGAGCAAAUAGG